GAAAUUUGAGAGGAUCUGCUCCUAGUACGAGAGGACCAGAGUGGACGAACCUCUGGUGUACCGGUUGUGACGCCAGUCGCAUCGCCGGGUAGCUAUGUUCGGAAGGGAUAACCGCUGAAAGCAUCUAAGCGGGAAGCCUACCUCAAGAUAAGAUUUCCCUAGGACUUUAUGUCCUCUAAAGAGCCGUUGAAGACUACGACGUUGAUAGGUUGGAUGUGGAAGCAUAGUGAUAUGUGAAGCUGACCAAUACUAAUUGCUCGUGAGGCUUGACUAUACAACACCCAAACAGUUG
RNAcentral lists this ribosomal RNA (292 nucleotides) under Acinetobacter pseudolwoffii. Its description in RNAcentral is "Acinetobacter sp. ANC 5044 partial 23S ribosomal RNA". It matches the Rfam family "Bacterial large subunit ribosomal RNA", at positions 2657 to 2925 of the family's 2925-position model. The record is from RNAcentral. Lineage: Bacteria; Pseudomonadati; Pseudomonadota; Gammaproteobacteria; Moraxellales; Moraxellaceae.